This 31-nucleotide non-coding RNA is filed under the name Mus musculus (house mouse). Lineage: Eukaryota; Metazoa; Chordata; Mammalia; Rodentia; Muridae. The record is from RNAcentral.
UCCUGCUUCAGAAAUGUCCUGUGAAACUCGC